UCUCUGAUUCUCUUUAAGUCUCUCCGAUUGCUCCCAUCCCUCUUCAUGUGAGUGACACAGAGACACAGAUCGGGGAGCUACUAUUCACCUUUGACCGGCGGCGACCGCCACCGAUGACCACAAAUCUUGACGCUGGCCGGAAACUUCCUAUGGAGCUUCGAUCUCUGGCCAUGGCCCUGCUCCUUGCGUUCCUCCUCCUGUCCCAAGUCGCCUCCGUGGCCGUGUCCUUCACUUCUCCGUCCCCCUCUCCGUCGCCGGCUCCUGCCUCGCACCGUACGCUGCCUAAGCAGUUGGACCGGGACCUCGACGGCGUGCCGCGCCGGCCCCCGGGGAUUCCCUCCCUGCGCGCGCCGCCUGAUCUGAUGAAGCACGGACACCACCAAGGCAGAAACCCGGUGCCGGCGAGCACUGGGAAGCCGAAGCUUAAUUAUGGGGAAAAGAUCGGGCUGGCGUUUGCUGGCGUCGCCGCCGGGUUGCAGGUGGCGCUGGGGGGUGUCCUCGUUCUCAAAAGAUGGCAGUUGAAGAAAGUGGAGCGCGAUGAUCGAGGAACGGCAGUCUCUUCCUCCAACCCUCCUCCUUGAUUCGCCUACCUCUUCAAAAUGAUGAUCUUUUCCCUCCCCAAAUGAAAAAGGUUAAAUCGAAGCUUUUCCCGUUUAAUGUGCAAUGGACGAAAUCUGGAUUGUUAAGUGGGUACAAGGCAGAAUGCGGAUGUUGCUUACUCGAAGAUGACUGAGCAUUCCAUGAUCCGUGGAUGGAUCCGAUCAAACCUCAUCCUGUACAAAUAGGCAGCUUGUCCAGACCUGCAUUUAUAGGGCACAAAAAUCACUCGCCGGUGGUGAUGUUUGUCUAUGACUGGCUACUUAAAAGUCUAUUAUUAUGCAAAUGUCCAGCAAGCAAACAGGGCCUUUGACUCCAACAUGCAAGGAAGAAGAACUGCCUUUCCGGGAAAGGGAAAGGGGUUGAUGAGGCUGACCAAGCAUAGGUUCUGGGCAGUCGAAUAUAAUUGCUGGGCGACUCAAGGCAAAAAUUGGGGCUUCGAUGGGCUUGUGACCAAGGAUCAGCAGCCAAUAUGCACCAAUUGCAGGUUGAUAUCUUUGUGAAUGCUUAUUGUAGUUUGUAUAGAAUUUGAUCAAGUUUUGUCAACAUUUGACAAGUUAAUUGGAUAAACUUAAUUAAAAUUGUGAUAAGACUUAUCCGGCUCGAUUUUUCUAUUUUGAAUUAGUCUUAACUUAUCUGAAACUCAUGAAAGGGGAUUCUUAAACAACUGUAAAGCAGGGAAAUUUUCUUGAAGAGGAGGUAAGCACAUGCCUUUAACUUUAUUCAAGAAGUAUUACCAAGUGGCAACAUCUUAUACCAUGUGGAGUUUUAGGGUGGAACAUUACUUUGACUGCAUCAAGACCCUUGAAAAAAAAAAAUUUCACUCGACCAGGUACCGGAAUGGAAUAUCAGAUAGCUUUUGAAAAAUUAAAUAAUAUGCUUGUACAAAUUCCUCAAGAAUCCCUAUUUGGAAUUUUUGUAGGUUGUAAGCCUUACCCAUAAACUGAAGUACCAUGUGAUAAUCCAGUGUCUCUUCAAAGCUUUCUUGUAAGCUAAUGUUGCUAAGAAAAAUUCCAAUAAUGAUGAUUGCUGAGAUAAUUAAUCCCUAGGCUUAACAUUUUUGAACUCAGGUUGGUUAGGAAUCUCGGAGCUUCAAAUGUCUUGAAUAUUUCCCAAAUCCCUACUAAAACUUCAAACUUGCAUCAUGAGACUAGUUGAGAUGAUUUAUGUAUAAGUUGUCUAACAAAAAUAUUUGUAGCCAGUUAUUCUCAGCCUUUACAAAAUUGUUUUGUGCCUAUAUUGUCUAUAUAUCUCAUAUCUAAGGAUUGAGGAAUGGCAUUGGCACAAGAAAUUGUAAUGAUUCUAACAUUAUUUUCGAAGAUUCUAAACCUCUCCUUUGAUGCUUUUAACAAUGCAUGUGUCCACCUCUCUUAUUGCUGAAGCUCUUUGGGUAAUCGACUCGGAAAAAAAUCUCUUUGGUGUCCUCUUAGGAUGUCCAAACCCUACUUUUUAUCUUAGAGGAAGCUUUGGGAGUGGAAAGUGAAGGAUUAAAAUUGAUGUUAUGGUAUAUAAAUGAGUUUUUCAAUUGAAAAGUGAAAAAGAAGGGAUGCCUAGCAAUUUGCUUUUCAGUGGGUUCCUUUUAAGUUGAAUUUUAUGAUUGUAGAGGACGUUUCUUUUUUUAACACGUGACAAACUAAAGGUCGGUUUAUAGUUGUACGUGCCUCACUUAAGUAAACCUCUUGGAUUGUAUGGUCAAUAAGAUAAAAAAAGCUGAUACAUGGUUUGAUUUAUUUGAUUUGUAAAAAAUCCAGAGAUCCUUUUAGAUAUUGAUUUUAAUAUGAUAUCUGGAUCAAUAAGUCUUAUUUUGAUCAUUGUGCCUUGGGCGAUCCUGGUAACAUUAGAUAUAUUGAUAUGUCUAGAGGUCAGUCCAUUUGAGAUUGCAUUGAGACUAUACUUAUAGAUCAAAAUCAUAGCAUCUCCCACCAAAGGUGACUAUGAUAUCAUGGCCAAACUAGUUCAAAAGUGUACUUUGGUAGUCAUACCUUCGAAUGAUACCGCCCGUACUGGGCGGUAUCAACCUGGCUGCGACGAGAGAAGAAAAAGCGUUAAGGGAGAAGAGGGAGAAGGCGCUCGAAGAAGAGGGAGAAUCGGGAGAACCUCGAUGCUUUCCGAUCCGACGCCGCCCUCCCUUGACGAUCCUGGUCCAGGAGGUAACGGAGAGACGACGACUCGACUUCUUCUUCGCCGAAGGCCAAAGAUGUCUGCGGCCUUCGACGUCUUCGCCGAACACCGCAAAUGAGGAGAAGACCGCACUCUUCUCCUCGUCUAACACGAUAAGGAGAAGAAAAGGAGGCGAUGUUGUUGAGGCAACGUACGCCUCCUUUUUUUAUAUUUAUUAUAUUAUAUAUAUGUGUGUGUGUUUUAUAUUUAUUAUAUUAUAUGUGUGUGUGUGUCUUCGUCGAAGAUGUCUGCGACCUUCGACGUCUUCGCCGAACGCCGCAAAUGAGGAGAAGACCGUGUUCUUCUCCUUGUCUGACAUGAUGAGGAGAAGAAAAGGAGGCGAUGUUGUUGAGGCAACGUACGCCUCCUUUUUUUAUAUUUAUUAUAUUAUAUAUAUAUGUGUGUGUGUGUUUUAUAUUUAUUAUAUUAUAUAUGUGUGUGUGUGUAGCAGUACACGCUAGCAUACCACUCCGUAUGCUCGUACCGUACCGUACCGAGCAAAGCUCGAUACGUUGGUCGAUACGAAAUUACAAACCUUGAGUCAUACUCCUUUGCUAAUUGUUUGAAUUGGGGACAAGGCUGGUGAUUAUUUUUCAGAGGCAUAAAUUGAUUAAUUGUUCUGAUUUUAUUCCUUUCCUUGAUCUGAAGCGUGCAUAGUAUGUUUUGAUACUUAGCCCAUCCCAUUCUAGAUGUUCCCUUUGACUUGUCCUCUGCAGAGAAAUUCUUUUUCAUCUGUUAUUAGGUGGUGCUAUGGAAAGCUAUUACAAGAAGCUUUGGGUGCUAUAUACUUGAUAUAAGAACACAGCUGGUUUGAAAUCUCAAAAAUCAGCAACUUCCAACUUUCCUUCAUGAUCUAUAUUUUUGUCCUGUUUUAAAUUUUGUGACUCGGAGGUGAAGCCUGAGGAUAAACAUAAAUUUGCACUUGCAGAGGGCUCCAGGUUGAAGAUGAGGAUCCUGAUUCUUGCCUUUUAAGAACAGUAUUUUUAUAAUUAGUUUAAUGCUUUUAUUACUUUUAGUUUUUCCAACAGUGCAUCGCAUGAUUUUCUGUUUUAUUUUUGGUAAUUCCUUUGGAAGGUCAAAUAAGUAAUGUUUUGAGUACAAAUUUUGUGAUAUGUUGGGUCCAGUAAGAGCCUUCAUUGGCAAGUCAUUUUCCUGUUAGUUCAAACUCAGUUUAGGCUCCAUCCUAUGAAAAAGUCAGGGCAGUUAUAUUUUUCAGUUAUGAUUGUCUGUUGAACAAUAAGACAUUUGUCAGAAUUUUAAUUUGAAAAUGAAGUUGGCUAGUAGUGAUAGGAAGCUACAUGACGAAUUGAUAUUUUGCUUAUUUAGAAGUUUGAAUUCUAGUGUGAUUUGGAAGUUGGUACAAGGUUUUAUUUGUUAGGUAUGUCUUCGAAAUAAGAUAUAUGUUAUCUUUCAAAAUUAUUUGUGUUUCUAAUCUUUGUUUUCCUGCUGCUUCUGUCUCUCUUUCUCUCUUUAUUUUCUUCUUCCUUUGCUGUAAUAGCAAAGCUGCUGGUUUACCUCUCUUGGUAGUGAUUUUGUUUUUAUCCGCUAGAGCUGUUGCUAUCUUUUAAUUUGUAGCUUGAGAACAGCCAGAUCUGAUCCGGAUAAUUUUAUAUCUGUCACCUCUAGCAUAUUUGUUUACACUGUACUCAUAUGGGCAUAUGUAAAAUGUGCUCCAUCAAUGCAGCAUCACUCUCUUUCCCUGUAUGUCUUUCCUGUUAAAACUUUCGUAGCUGCAAAAGUAUCAAGAGUCUUCAAAACAUUUUUGUAUGAAUUGACAGUUGAUAGUGCUUUAUAACAUGAUUACAUUUGGAAUAAAUACUUCUUAAGGCAACUAAGUACUGUGCUUCUUGGAGCAUGAUGUUGGACAAAAAAUAUUUGAGCACUUGGUUCAGCAAAUAGAAGGGUGUCUCCAUGGGGAUUUCUUGGUCUUUUGAAGUGACUAAAGUGUCAUGAUAUCACUAUAGAUAUGGCAACUUCUAAAGGUUUCCUAAUUUUACAUGCUUAAGGUAGACUGAAUAUAGAGAUUAUCCUUUGAGUUAAAGAGAAUGAUAAAUAAAAAUUAAAAGGGCACUUCAGGAAGUCUAUUUAGAAGCUGAGUGCUGGAUGCUACUAAGCAAUUUUGGUGAACCAUGCUCGAUACAGUGCAGUAAUGAAGAUCUGUGUUUAUGAUUCACUUGGCAGAAAAGGGUCUUUGUUGGUUGAGAUUCAUGAUUGUUUAGAUCUUUUCAUUUGUUCCAUCUUUUUUGCUUUACUGUCUUAUUGCUAAUUAUUGUGUAUAAGAUGCAUUUUAAGCCAUUAGGUGUGGUUUAAGAGGUCAUGGAGCUAACUGUUGGAGAUACUAUUGCUUUACUCCAUUAGCUUGAAUUUCCAGUGGUGACAAGGAAAUUGAACAACCAAGUUCAUAUGUGGUGAGUCACACAGAUACACAUCUCCAUGAAGGGUUCCAAUGGCUUGGAUCUGCCACCAGUAAUCAGGACACGCAUAUGAACUGUGGUCCAAAUUGCAGUCCAAGUGCAGUAAGAAUCAUGUCAGAGCUAUAGCAGCAGUCUUUACAAAUCUGUGUUCUUGUUGGGACCGCUGUAAUGGUAAAAGGGACCAAGCCUGAGCUGGACAUUGGAAGCAUCCAAAUGUUGCUGAGUGGCCACUGGGUGCAGUUUUAGCUGCUAGUGAAGAACAUUAGGUGUAUCCAUCUCUGGGUUACAUUUUCCCCUGGUACUCUCUGUUUUGAUCAGUUCCAGCUUGUCUUUAUUUAUUUGAGGUGGAACUACAGAAGUAAUAUGUAGGAUCAUUUGCACAACUGAGCAUAAACCCAAGAAAAUAAUAACAUAUACUAUGAAAACUACUUACAAACCAACAGUGAUCAUUGACAGCUUUAGAUAUGUAUGAAUAGAUGCUUAAGUUAAUACCUACUCAGGUCUGCCAAUUCAAUAUCUGGGAUGAAAGGAGUGGGAGAAGGGAUUCUUUGAGGCUUUAGAUCUCAUUUUCCUUUUAAGCUUUUGGUUACAAGACAAAGCAAUUGUUGGAUAUGAAAGAAAGACUCUGAAUAUGCCCUUCUCCAGACUUACAUUGGCCAAAAUUAUAUGUUAUGGUGAUCAAUGUUAAUUUUUAAGAUUUUGUUUCAUUAUGAUUCAUUGAUUCUUUGCAUCUUUUAUGAUUUACUAGCAUUUAGACCACAGGAUUGAUCUGUCAUAUUAAGAUUGUGGAAUCACAUGGUUUAACAAUCUUUGUAUCUGUUGUUACUUUGAAAUAGCAAUAUCACUGUGUUAUUACUUGGUAAUAGUAACAAUUAGUCUAAACAAUGGGUAUCACUGUGUUAUUACCUUGAAAUAGCAAUAUCAUUGUAUUCUGCUGUCAAGUGAUUGCAGCUGCUAUAGGUCUAGUACAUAAAGGUCUAGACACUGGUGACCAAGCUGGUAUCAGUCAGUCUACACUGUCUAGAAUUUAAAUGCUGAAACCAGAAACAUCUGUAGUGUUGUAACUUUUAUGGUAGUUGUCCAGUAUAAAGUUCUCAAAAAUAUUCCACUCUGGAUGCCAUAUUGAGCAAGACAACACCAUAUACAAUGAACUUUUGCAUGUCACAUCAGCACACCAGUCAUCUCCUACUUUUCUAAUUAUUACUGACUGAUGUGAAUUUUAUCAGCCUAAGUGCUUAGUCUUGGCAUGGUGUAAUAGAUCUUGCUCACCAAGAAUUACUUGUAAAGCUGCUUGUGGAAAAAAAAAUAAA
This is a long non-coding RNA of Musa acuminata AAA Group (dessert banana), 6481 nucleotides long. RefSeq lists it as uncharacterized. NCBI's taxonomy places the organism in Eukaryota, Viridiplantae, Streptophyta, Magnoliopsida, Zingiberales, Musaceae. The record is from RefSeq and is a predicted model, not a curated record. The transcript is spliced from 2 exons.